This 468-nucleotide ribosomal RNA is filed under the name uncultured bacterium. RNAcentral's name for it is "partial 16S ribosomal RNA". It matches the Rfam family "Bacterial small subunit ribosomal RNA", at positions 28 to 507 of the family's 1533-position model. The record is from RNAcentral.
AACGAACGCUGGCGGCAUGCUUAACACAUGCAAGUCGAACGGAAAGGCCCUUCUUUUUUGGGGUGCUCGAGUGACGAACGGGUGAGUAACCCGUGAGUAACCUGCCAUUGACUUUGGGAUGACGUCAGGAAACUUGAUCUAAUACCGGAUAGGAGCUCCUGCUGCAUGGUGGGGGUUGGAUAGUUUCGGCGGUUGGGGUUGUACUCGCGGCUUAUAAGCUUGUUGGUGGGGUAGUGGCAUACCAAGACUUUGACGGGUAGCCGGCCUGAGAGGGUGACCGGCGACAUUGGGCCUGAGGUAGGGCCCAGACUAGAAUGGGAGGCAGCAGUGGGGAAGAUUGUACAAUGGGCGGAAGCAUGGUGUAGCAACGCCGCGUGCGGGAAGAGGGCCUGUGGGUUGUAAAACGCUUUCGUUUGAGACGAAGCGUGAGUGACGGUAACGGGUGAAGAAGCACCGGCUAACUACGUG